This 331-nucleotide ribosomal RNA is filed under the name Kochius hirsuticauda. RNAcentral describes it as "partial 12S ribosomal RNA". The record is from RNAcentral. Lineage: Eukaryota; Metazoa; Arthropoda; Arachnida; Scorpiones; Vaejovidae.
UAAAGUUUAUAAAAUUAGGUAGUAAAGAAAUCUCCGAAACCUAAAGAAUUUGGCGGUAUUUUAGAUAAUUGGAGGAACCUGUUAUUUAAUUGACAAUCCACAUCAUAUCUUUCCUAAAUUUUAUUUGUAUAUCGUCGUUAGGAUAAUAUUGAAAAAUUAUAAUCAAUAUCAAUAAAUUUCUUAAAAUCAGAUCAAGGUGCAGUAUAUUUAGGUUAUAAUGGGUUACAAUAUAAGUAUAUAUAUAUGGAUAUAAAUUUGAAAUUAUAUUGAAAGUGGAUUCAAAAGUAAUAUUAAAUUAAAAUGUUAAUUUGAUUAAUAAUUUAAAAUAUGC